RNAcentral lists this non-coding RNA (50 nucleotides) under Dictyostelium discoideum. RNAcentral describes it as "Class I RNA from Dictyostelium". It matches the Rfam family "Class I RNA from Dictyostelium". Lineage: Eukaryota; Evosea; Eumycetozoa; Dictyosteliales; Dictyosteliaceae. The record is from Rfam by way of RNAcentral. RNAcentral also lists the same sequence under 1 other name.
GUUGACCUCACAGCAAUUAACUAGUUUUAAAGAAACCCCCUUGUCAACUG